This is a long non-coding RNA of Vombatus ursinus (common wombat), 860 nucleotides long. RefSeq lists it as uncharacterized. The transcript has 2 exons. NCBI's taxonomy places the organism in Eukaryota, Metazoa, Chordata, Mammalia, Diprotodontia, Vombatidae. The record is from RefSeq and is a predicted model, not a curated record.
CUUCCCAGUCCUAUAAAAAGGCCGUCAUUGACCGUACAGUCAUCCACUGAUCACCUGGUUCCUCAUCUGCAUUGGAGCAUCUGAUACACGGAGAUCCAGAAAAGAUGUCCUACCAGAAUCAGCAGCAGUGCAAACAGCCUUGCCAGCUACCUCCCAAUUGGUCACAGCCUUGCCAGCCUGUGUGCCCAGAGGCAUGCCCUCCUGUGUGCCCAGAGCCAUGCCCUCCUAGGUGCCCAGAGCCUUGUCCUCCUAGGUGCCCAGAGCCAUGCCCUCCUGUGUGCCCAGAGCCAUGCCCUCCUGUGUGCCCUGAGCCAUGUCCUCCUAGGUGCCCUGAGCCAUGUCCUCCUAGGUGCCCUGAGCUAUGCCCACCACAGCAAUGCCAGCAGAAAUGUCCUCCAUGCCCUCCACCUUGUCAGAAGUAGCACUCUGGCCAGGGGGAAAGUGUCAGAUGCUGGUAGCACCAUGAAACAAGGAGCAUGAGCAUCCCUGUGGAAGCUGGGCUCCUCUUUCCUCUCUCUAAACCUCCAUGCCCCUCUGAUCUUGUUUUGCUCUGGAUGGAAUUCCUGGGAGAACCUUUGUUCCUGGAGCUACAAUCAUUUCAGAAACAAGGCUUCUACUUCAUUCGUCUUUCCCAGCCCCCUCCCCACCUCCUCAGAUGAGAGAUGGCAGAGAAAAGAUCAAUCUACUCAACGCCAGGUGUCCUGGAACUUCAGGGGAAAGUUGACCCUCAAGAACCAGACUCCUGGCCCCCUGCCUCUGCAUGAGCUCUCCUCUGUGCUGCAACCUGGGAGGGUGGACUCCAUCCCUGGACCCUUAUAACUCUUCCCACUGCCCCAAAUAAAGCAUAUGUUUCACGGUGA